This 229-nucleotide unclassified non-coding RNA is filed under the name Staphylococcus carnosus subsp. carnosus TM300. RNAcentral describes it as "NEW_REGION_507". It matches the Rfam family "transfer-messenger RNA", at positions 1 to 239 of the family's 374-position model. Rfam says of the family: Bacterial tmRNA, also known as 10Sa RNA or SsrA, is named for its dual tRNA and mRNA-like properties. Its role is to liberate the mRNA from a stalled ribosome. To accomplish this part of the tmRNA is used as a reading frame that ends in a translation stop signal. Lineage: Bacteria; Bacillati; Bacillota; Bacilli; Caryophanales; Staphylococcaceae. The record is from RNAcentral.
GGGGACGUUUUGGAUUCGACAGGGGUCCCCAGAGCUUAUUAAGCGUGUCGGAGGGUUGUCUUCGUUAUCAACACACUCAGUUUAUAAUAACUGGCAAAACAAACAAUAAUUUAGCAGUAGCUGCGUAAUAGCACUCUGCAUCGCCUAACAGUAUCGCCUAUGUACUGUUAACGCGAUUCAACUUUAGUAGGAUACGCUAGACACUGCUGUUCGAAGUCUGUCUAGAAGA